CCCCUAGAUGUUCUGGGCCGCACGCGCGCUACACUGAACAGUUCAACAAGUCUUAACCUUGGCCGAUAGGUCUGGGUAAUCUUUGAACGCUGUUCGUGAUUGGGAUAGACCUUUGCAAUUAUGGGUCUUCAACGAGGAAUUCCUAGUAAACGCAAGUCAUCAGCUUGCAUUGAUUACGUCCCUGCCCUUUGUACACACCGCCCGGCGCACCUACCGAUUGAAUGGUCCGGUGAAAUCUCGGGACGGCGGCUUGGUCGCUUGCGUCCGACUGCUGAAACUUGAUUAAACCAUAUCAUUUAGAGGAAGGUGAAGUCGUAACA
This 320-nucleotide ribosomal RNA is filed under the name uncultured eukaryote. RNAcentral describes it as "partial 18S ribosomal RNA". It matches the Rfam family "Eukaryotic small subunit ribosomal RNA", at positions 1470 to 1796 of the family's 1831-position model. The record is from RNAcentral.